UGGUUUCUAUUGUCUCCUUCUUCUUAAUCCCCAUUUUUUCUUUUUAUUUUCUUUUGAUCAAUUGGAUAGUUUGUGUCCAUCUUGUUCAUGAUGUGUGGAUUGGUGCUUGAUGAACUUUCAUAAUUUCAAAUCUACCUCCUAAUUGAUAAUUGAUCAUUUAAGGUACUUUGAAUUGAUGUAUAAGUUUGUCCUAAGUAUCAUGAAGUAUGAAUUGAAGUAAUGGACCAUCCGCCUAACCUAUGUGCUUGAUCUAUACCCUUUUCUUUUUUUAUGUGGCAUGGCUUUAGGAGAAUGAUUUACAUAUCAUUUCUCUAGAAUGUAUUAACACAAAUAUUAUUAUUGACCGACCU
RNAcentral lists this long non-coding RNA (350 nucleotides) under Lathyrus oleraceus (garden pea). Its description in RNAcentral is "Pisum sativum (pea) long non-coding RNA (PSAT_LNC002256)". The record is from RNAcentral. Lineage: Eukaryota; Viridiplantae; Streptophyta; Magnoliopsida; Fabales; Fabaceae.